AGAGUUUGAUCCUGGCUCAGAACGAACGCUGGCGGCAUGCCUAACACAUGCAAGUCGAACGGGAUCCGGACUUCGGUUCGGUGAGAGUGGCGGACGGGUGAGUAACGCGUGGGAACCUGCCCAGUGGUGGGGGGUAACUGCGGGAAACUGCAGCUAAUACCGCAUGAGCCCGAGAGGGGAAAGAUUUAUCGCCAUUGGAGGGGCCCGCGUUCGAUUAGGUAGUUGGUGAGGUAACGGCUCACCAAGCCGACGAUCGAUAGCUGGUCUGAGAGGAUGAUCAGCCACACUGGGACUGAGAUACGGCCCAGACUCCUACGGGAGGCAGCAGUGGGGAAUAUUGGACAAUGGGGGCAACCCUGAUCCAGCAAUGCCGCGUGAGUGAUGAAGGCCUUCGGGUUGUAAAGCUCUUUUGCCAGGGACGAUGAUGACGGUACCUGAGAAAUAGCCCCCCGAAUUCCCA
This 460-nucleotide ribosomal RNA is filed under the name uncultured Candidatus Odyssella sp. RNAcentral describes it as "bacterial SSU rRNA". It matches the Rfam family "Bacterial small subunit ribosomal RNA", at positions 8 to 506 of the family's 1533-position model. Lineage: Bacteria; Pseudomonadati; Pseudomonadota; Alphaproteobacteria; Holosporales; Candidatus Paracaedibacteraceae. The record is from RNAcentral.